AUACGGAGGGUGCAAGCGUUAAUCGGAAUUACUGGGCGUAAAGCGCACGCAGGCGGUUUGUUAAGUCAGAUGUGAAAUCCCCGGGCUCAACCUGGGAACUGCAUCUGAUACUGGCAAGCUUGAGUCUCGUAGAGGGGGGUAGAAUUCCAGGUGUAGCGGUGAAAUGCGUAGAGAUCUGGAGGAAUACCGGUGGCGAAGGCGGCCACCUGGACGAAGACUGACGGUCAGGUGCGAAAGCGUGGGGAGCGAACAGGAUUAGAUACCCUGGUAGUCCAUGCCGUAAACGAUGUCGACUUGGAGGUUGUGCCCUUGAGGCGUGGCUUCCGGAGCAAACGCGUUAAGUCGACCGCCUGGGGAGUACGGCCGCAAGGUUAAAACUCAAAUGAAUUGGCGG
This 394-nucleotide ribosomal RNA is filed under the name uncultured bacterium. RNAcentral's name for it is "partial 16S ribosomal RNA". It matches the Rfam family "Bacterial small subunit ribosomal RNA", at positions 523 to 916 of the family's 1533-position model. The record is from RNAcentral.